This 449-nucleotide ribosomal RNA is filed under the name uncultured bacterium. RNAcentral describes it as "partial 16S ribosomal RNA". It matches the Rfam family "Bacterial small subunit ribosomal RNA", at positions 29 to 523 of the family's 1533-position model. The record is from RNAcentral.
AACGAACGCUGGCGGCAUGCCUAACACAUGCAAGUCGAACGAGAUCUUCGGGUCUAGUGGCGCACGGGUGCGUAACGCGUGGGAAUCUGCCCUUUGGUUCGGAAUAACAGUUGGAAACGACUGCUAAUACCGGAUGAUGACGAAAGUCCAAAGAUUUAUCGCCAGAGGAUGAGCCCGCGUAGGAUUAGCUUGUUGGUGUGGUAAAGGCGCACCAAGGCGACGAUCCUUAGCUGGUCUGAGAGGAUGAUCAGCCACACUGGGACUGAGACACGGCCCAGAAUCCUACGGGAGGCAGCAGUGGGGAAUAUUGGACAAUGGGCGAAAGCCUGAUCCAGCAAUGCCGCGUGAGUGAUGAAGGCCUUAGGGUUGUAAAGCUCUUUUACCCGGGAUGAUAAUGACAGUACCGGGAGAAUAAGCUCCGGCUAACUCCGUGCCAGCCGCCGCAGUAA